AACGAACGCUGGCGGCAGGCCUAACACAUGCAAGUCGAGCGAGGACUUCGGUUCUAGCGUCGGACGGGUGAGUAACGCGUGGGAAUGUGCCCUUCUCUACGGAAUAGCCCUGGGAAACUGGGAGUAAUACCGUAUACGCCCUAUUGGGGAAAGAUUUAUCGGAGAAGGAUCAGCCCGCGUUGGAUUAGGUAGUUGGUGGGGUAAUGGCCUACCAAGCCGACGAUCCAUAGCUGGUUUGAGAGGAUGAUCAGCCACACUGGGACUGAGACACGGCCCAGACUCCUACGGGAGGCAGCAGUGGGGAAUCUUAGACAAUGGGGGCAACCAUGAUCUAGCCAUGCCGCGUGAGUGAUGAAGGCCUUAGGGUUGUAAAGCUCUUUCAGCUGGGAAGAUAAUGACGGUACCAGCAGAAGAAGCCCCGGCUAACUCCGUG
This 433-nucleotide ribosomal RNA is filed under the name uncultured bacterium. RNAcentral describes it as "partial 16S ribosomal RNA". It matches the Rfam family "Bacterial small subunit ribosomal RNA", at positions 29 to 507 of the family's 1533-position model. The record is from RNAcentral.